Molecule: ribosomal RNA, 253 nt
Filed under: uncultured bacterium
Lineage: Bacteria
Description: partial 16S ribosomal RNA
Rfam family: Bacterial small subunit ribosomal RNA
Source: RNAcentral
UACGUAGGGUGCAAGCGUUAAUCGGAAUUACUGGGCGUAAAGCGUGCGCAGGCGGUGAUGUAAGACAGAUGUGAAAUCCCCGGGCUCAACCUGGGAACUGCAUUUGUGACUGCAUCGCUGGAGUACGGCAGAGGAGGAUGGAAUUCCGCGUGUAGCAGUGAAAUGCGUAGAUAUGCGGAGGAACACCGAUGGCGAAGGCAAUCCCCUGGGCCUGUACUGACGCUCAUGCACGAAAGCGUGGGGAGCAAACAGG